RNAcentral lists this ribosomal RNA (445 nucleotides) under Mammaliicoccus sciuri. RNAcentral describes it as "bacterial SSU rRNA". It matches the Rfam family "Bacterial small subunit ribosomal RNA", at positions 1 to 441 of the family's 1533-position model. The record is from RNAcentral. Lineage: Bacteria; Bacillati; Bacillota; Bacilli; Caryophanales; Staphylococcaceae.
UAGAGUUUGAUCCUGGCUCAGNAUGAACGCUGGCGGCGUGCCUAAUACAUGCAAGUCGAGCGAACAGAUGAGAAGCUUGCUUCUCUGAUGUUAGCGGCGGACGGGUGAGUAACACGUGGGUAACCUACCUAUAAGACUGGGAUAACUCCGGGAAACCGGGGCUAAUACCGGAUAAUAUUUUGAACCGCAUGGUUCGAUAGUGAAAGACGGUUUCGGCUGUCACUUAUAGAUGGACCCGCGCCGUAUUAGCUAGUUGGUAAGGUAACGGCUUACCAAGGCGACGAUACGUAGCCGACCUGAGAGGGUGAUCGGCCACACUGGAACUGAGACACGGUCCAGACUCCUACGGGAGGCAGCAGUAGGGAAUCUUCCGCAAUGGGCGAAAGCCUGACGGAGCAACGCCGCGUGAGUGAUGAAGGUCUUCGGAUCGUAAACUCUGUUNUUA